UACGUAGGGCGCAAGCGUUGUCCGGAAUUAUUGGGCGUAAAGAGCUCGUAGGCGGCCUGUUGCGUCCGCUGUGAAAUCCCGGGGCUCAACCCCGGGCCUGCAGUGGAUACGGGUUGGCUGGAGGCAGGCAGGGGAGAACGGAAUUCCUGGUGUAGCGGUGAAAUGCGCAGAUAUCAGGAGGAACACCGGUGGCGAAGGCGGUUCUCUGGGCCUGUUCUGACGCUGAGGAGCGAAAGCGUGGGGAGCGAACAGG
Molecule: ribosomal RNA, 253 nt
Filed under: uncultured bacterium
Lineage: Bacteria
Description: partial 16S ribosomal RNA
Rfam family: Bacterial small subunit ribosomal RNA
Source: RNAcentral